This 481-nucleotide ribosomal RNA is filed under the name Otostigmus astenus. RNAcentral's name for it is "partial 16S ribosomal RNA". It matches the Rfam family "Bacterial large subunit ribosomal RNA", at positions 1832 to 2606 of the family's 2925-position model. The record is from RNAcentral. Lineage: Eukaryota; Metazoa; Arthropoda; Chilopoda; Scolopendromorpha; Scolopendridae.
GGUUUUUUGUGAUUAAUAAAAAAUCUGGCCUGCCCUAUGUUAAUAAAUGGCCGCGGUAUUUUGACCGUGCGAAGGUAGCAUAAUAAAUAGUCUAUUAAUUGUGGUCUGGAAUGAAAGGUUUUACGAGGGAUGGCUUUUUUAUUUUUAUUUAUGAAUUUAAAUUUUCAGUAAAAAUGCUGAUAUAUAUUAGGGGGACGAGAAGACCCUAUAGAGCUUUACAUUUUUAUUAUUUUUAGUAGGAAAUAAUUAUAUGUUUUGUUGGGGCGACAAUAAGUUUAAACACUUUUUUAUUCUUUUUUAUAGGUUAUAUGAUCCAUUAUUAAUGAAUUAAGACUAAGUUACCUUAGGGAUAACAGCGUAAUUUAAUUUUAGAGAUCUUAUCGAUAAUUAAGAUUGCGACCUCGAUGUUGGAUUAAAAUUCCUGUAUGGUGUAGUUGCCAUAUAAGGUAGUCUGUUCGACUAUUAAAUUUUUACAUGAUCU